AAACUUUCAACAACGGAUCUCUUGGCUCUGGCAUCGAUGAAGAACGCAGCGAAAUGCGAUACGUAAUGCGAAUUGCAGAAUUCAUCGAGUCAUCGAAUCUUUGAACGCACAUUGCGCCCGCCAGCAUUCUGGCGGGCAUGCCUGUCCGAGCGUCAUUU
RNAcentral lists this ribosomal RNA (158 nucleotides) under Ophiostoma ulmi. RNAcentral's name for it is "5.8S ribosomal RNA". It matches the Rfam family "5.8S ribosomal RNA". From Rfam's summary of the family: 5.8S ribosomal RNA (5.8S rRNA) is a component of the large subunit of the eukaryotic ribosome. It is transcribed by RNA polymerase I as part of the 45S precursor that also contains 18S and 28S rRNA. Functionally, it is thought that 5.8S rRNA may be involved in ribosome translocation. The record is from RNAcentral. Lineage: Eukaryota; Fungi; Ascomycota; Sordariomycetes; Ophiostomatales; Ophiostomataceae.